GGCCAGCAGCCGCGGUAAUACGUAGGGGGCGAGCGUUGUCCGAAUUUACUGGGCGUAAAGCGCGCGUAGGCGGAUUUUUAAGUUGGGGGUGAAAUCCCGGGGCUCAACCCCGGAACUGCCUCCAAAACUGGAAGUCUUGAGGUAUGGAGAGGGAAGUGGAAUUCCAGGUGUAGCGGUGAAAUGCGUAGAUAUCUGGAGGAACACCCGUGGCGAAGGCGGCUUCCUGGUCAUAUCCUGACGCUGAGGUGCGAAAGCUAGGGGAGCGAACGGGAUUAGAUACCCCGGUAGUCCUAGCCGUAAACGAUGGAUACUAGGUGUAAGUGGUAUCGACCCCACUUGUGCCGUAGCUAACGCAUUAAGUAUCCCGCCUGGGGAGUACGGCCGCAAGGUUGAAACUUAAAGGAAUUGACGGGGGCCCGCACAAGC
Molecule: ribosomal RNA, 426 nt
Filed under: uncultured bacterium
Lineage: Bacteria
Description: bacterial SSU rRNA
Rfam family: Bacterial small subunit ribosomal RNA
Source: RNAcentral